Small nucleolar RNA from Drosophila melanogaster (fruit fly), 141 nucleotides. The record is from Ensembl. Lineage: Eukaryota; Metazoa; Arthropoda; Insecta; Diptera; Drosophilidae.
ACGCACCUAAAAGCGUUUUCUUGCCAGCCCGUUAAGUGCUCUCGAAAAUCGUAGAUGUGUGCCAGAGCAAUCGUCGCAGUUGCAAGUGAUCUAGAUCCGUGACAGAAUCAGAUCCAAUUAAAGCUGGGCUCAUUUAUAUAU